GAUGAACGCUGGCGGCGUGCCUAAUACAUGCAAGUCGAGCGAACAGACGAGGAGCUUGCUCCUCUGACGUUAGCGGCGGACGGGUGAGUAACACGUGGAUAACCUACCUAUAAGACUGGGAUAACUUCGGGAAACCGGAGCUAAUACCGGAUAAUAUAUUGAACCGCAUGGUUCAAUAGUGAAAGACGGCUUUGCUGGCACUUAUAGAUGGAUCCGCGCCGCAUUAGCUAGUUGGUAAGGUAACGGCUUACCAAGGCAACGAUGCGUAGCCGACCUGAGAGGGUGAUAGGCGACACUGGAGGUGAGACGCGGUCCAGACGCCUACGGGAGGCAGCAGAAGGGAAUCGUCCGCAGUAGGCGAAAGCUUGACGGAGCAACGCCGAGUGAGUGAUGAAGGUCUUCGGAUCGUAAAACUCUGUUAUUGGGGAAGAACAAAUGUGUAAGUAACUAUGCACGUCUUGACGGUACCUAAUCAGAAAGCCACGGCUAACUACGUG
RNAcentral lists this ribosomal RNA (497 nucleotides) under uncultured bacterium. Its description in RNAcentral is "partial 16S ribosomal RNA". It matches the Rfam family "Bacterial small subunit ribosomal RNA", at positions 28 to 507 of the family's 1533-position model. The record is from RNAcentral.